UAGGGAAUCUUCCGCAAUGGACGAAAGUCUGACGGAGCAACGCCGCGUGAGUGAUGAAGGCUUUCGGGUCGUAAAACUCUGUUGUUAGGGAAGAACAAGUACGAGAGUAACUGCUCGUACCUUGACGGUACCUAACCAGAAAGCCACGGCUAACUACGUGCCAGCAGCCGCGGUAAUACGUAGGUGGCAAGCGUUAUCCGGAAUUAUUGGGCGUAAAGCGCGCGCAGGCGGUUUCUUAAGUCUGAUGUGAAA
This 252-nucleotide ribosomal RNA is filed under the name uncultured Bacillus sp. Its description in RNAcentral is "partial 16S ribosomal RNA". It matches the Rfam family "Bacterial small subunit ribosomal RNA", at positions 355 to 599 of the family's 1533-position model. Lineage: Bacteria; Bacillati; Bacillota; Bacilli; Caryophanales; Bacillaceae. RNAcentral also lists the same sequence under 1 other name. The record is from RNAcentral.